This 597-nucleotide long non-coding RNA is filed under the name Numida meleagris (helmeted guineafowl). RNAcentral describes it as "lncRNA (ENSNMEG00000022446.1)". The record is from RNAcentral. Lineage: Eukaryota; Metazoa; Chordata; Aves; Galliformes; Numididae.
CUUUAAUGGAUUCUUAAAAUCAGAACAAAUCCAAAAGUAUGUAAGAUAGUUGUGUCUGGAUAUUGUCCACUGGCCCUUCACCUCAUAAUCCUGAAAACACUAUGCAUGAAUAACUUCUGCAAUACCUAGAUCUCAAGAUGUUUGUUAAGUAUAUUUUAAGCUUGUAGGUGAUGCAGUGAAGAGCUUCAUCUCCAGAGGAACGACAAUGGAAGAGAUGCAUACCACAUUUUCACCAGCAGAGCUGAACUCUGAUAUAGACUUCUGCAUUCAUGCAUCUAUACAAUUGCAAACAUUGAGGAUCUGUCCCACUGGCUCUUCAGAAGACAAGUAGCCAUUGUGUAAGAGUUUUCUACGUGAAGCAUUACAGAGCUCAUUCAUCUGCUUUGAAAAGAAGACUCCAAGAAGAAAGAAAAUUGACCAACAAAAAGUAAUACACAUCUUGCAUUUUAAAAAACAAUUCCCAGAAAUAAGACUCAAUUAAGCCAGCUGGAGACAGCCAAAGCACUGUGAGAGUGAAAACGAUAUUUAUAAUUAAUGUUCUAGAAGUACAUAAGUUUGAAGAACCAAACAAGUAAAUAGAGAUUAAGAGAAAAUUAU